GUUAGGGAGCCUGAUGAAAGGGUCAUCUUGAUAUGAUGGAUUACGUGCACACCACCCCUAAUU
Molecule: transfer RNA, 63 nt
Filed under: Aiolocaria hexaspilota
Lineage: Eukaryota; Metazoa; Arthropoda; Insecta; Coleoptera; Coccinellidae
Description: tRNA-Ile
Source: RNAcentral